CACACCAGUCUAAGACAUAUUGUUUUGCCAACCAUUUCUCCUAUUGCACAUGCUGACACACAAAUCAGUGUCACAGAACUCCCUCCAAACAAGCCCUAUCGAAACACAAAACCUUAUCUCCUGGAAUUUAAGCAAACCUUAUCAACAUGGAGUACACUACCCACCAAACAAUCAGAGAACUAGCAACAGUGUUUUGACUAGCAAUGGCUGCCUUCAGCUCUCAAUUUCAUUGCACAAUCUAUCACAUUUCGCAUGAUAUAAAAGCCAGGCGUUUUGUUUCUUGCUCAGUGAACCCCUCACAGGGUAAUAUCAAGGUGAUUGUAAAUGGAGCUGCAAAGGAAAUAGGAAGAGCAGCAGUACUAGCAGUCACUAAAGCUAGAGGAAUGGAGGUGGCUGGUGCUGUUGACUCACAUUUUGUAGGAGAAGAUAUUGGGAAGGUAUGUGACAUGGAAGAGCCUAUGGAAAUUCCUAUAAUGAAUGAUCUCACCAUGGUAUUAGGUUCCAUAUCUCAGUCGAAAGCGAGAGGAGUCGUCCUCGACUUCACGGAUCCUGAUACAGUUUAUGACAAUGUGAAACAGGCAACAGCAUUUGGCAUGAGAAGUGUGGUUCACGUACCACGGAUAAAGCUAGAGACAGUUUCUGCAUUAUCUGCAUUCUGUGAGAAGGCCACCAUGGUGAGCACAGGUGUUGCAUUCAUGUCAGGGUUGCUUGAUUGCACCAACUCUAUCCAUAGGAUCCAUUCUGCUCCAGCAAGCUGCCAUUUCUGCUUCCUUCCACUACAAGAAUGUAGAAAUUGUGGAAUCAAGGCCCAAUCCAACAGAUUUUCCGUCAACAGAUGCCAACCAAAUUGCCAACAAUCUCUCAAACCUUGGUCAAAUCUACAACAGAGAAGAUAUUUCAACAGAUGUGAGGGCAAGAGGUCAAGUCCUGGGAGAAGAUGGGGUUCGUGUGCAUAGUAUGGUCCUUCCAGGGCUUCCAUCCAGUACAACUGUUUACUUCUCUCGCCCAGGAGAGAAAUGAUGCUGGUGCAGGUUUACUCUGUUAAGCAUGAUAUCACAGAUGUUCAGUCUCUCAUGCCAGGCUUAAUUAUGGCUGUUAGAAAGGUUGUAAAUCUUAAGAAUCUGGUGUAUGGUUUGGAGAAAUUUUUGUAGAAACUCAAAUGAUUCAAUCUCCUGGAUUCAUAACAAAAACUCAGUGUUAAUUUAGUAGACAAUCAACAUCGUCGUGCAAUUAGCAGGAGCAGUUAUGGCUAGUGGAAAUUUUUGCAGGAACUUAGGUGUUCUUCAAUCUACUCAGUGACGAUCUACACCUUCAAAUUGAUUAAGUUAAGGAUCCACAUCAUCCUGUAGUCAGAUAGUAGAGCAAAGAAGCUUAAGUGGAGUGAGAGAGGAAGAACAUGGUCAGUCAUUUUCAUUCACUAUGAAAUGUAGUUUGAUUAAAUUAAUGAGAUUCAACGGUUGGAAUUUUCACUAUCAUAA
Mangifera indica (mango) is the source of this 1478-nucleotide RNA transcript. It is a transcript of the gene named dihydrodipicolinate reductase-like protein CRR1, chloroplastic, with no coding region annotated. The record is from RefSeq and is a predicted model, not a curated record. NCBI's taxonomy places the organism in Eukaryota, Viridiplantae, Streptophyta, Magnoliopsida, Sapindales, Anacardiaceae. The transcript is spliced from 10 exons.